Molecule: ribosomal RNA, 459 nt
Filed under: uncultured bacterium
Lineage: Bacteria
Description: partial 16S ribosomal RNA
Rfam family: Bacterial small subunit ribosomal RNA
Source: RNAcentral
CCUACGGGUGGCAGCAGUGGGGAAUAUUGGUCAAUGGGGGAGACCCUGAACCAGCCAAGCCGCGUGAGGGAAGAAGGUACAGCGUAUCGUAAACCUCUUUUGUCAGGGAACAAAGGCGGGGACUAGUCCCCGGAUGAGGGUACCUGAAGAAAAAGCAUCGGCAAACUCCGUGCCAGCAGCCGCGGUAAUACGGAGGAUGCGGGCGUUAUCCGGAUUUAUUGGGGUUAAAGGGUGCGCAGGCGGCCUGUUAAGUCAGCGGUAAAAGCCCGGGGCUCAACCCCGGCGAGCCGUUGAAACUGGCGGGCUGGAGUUGGAGAGAGGUACGCGGAAUGCGCGGUGUAGCGGUGAAAUGCUUAGAUAUCGCGCAGAACCCUGAUUGCGAAGGCAGCGUACCGGCUCCACACUGACGCUGAGGCGCGAAAGCGUGGGGAGCGAACAGGAUUAGAUACCCUGGUAGUC